UAUCUUAGCGGCGGACGGGUGAGUAAUGCUUAGGAAUCUGCCUAUUAGUGGGGGACAACAUUCCGAAAGGAAUGCUAAUACCGCAUACGUCCUACGGGAGAAAGCAGGGGAUCUUCGGACCUUGCGCUAAUAGAUGAGCCUAAGUCGGAUUAGCUAGUUGGUGGGGUAAAGGCCUACCAAGGCGACGAUCUGUAGCGGGUCUGAGAGGAUGAUCCGCCACACUGGGACUGAGACACGGCCCAGACUCCUACGGGAGGCAGCAGUGGGGAAUAUUGGACAAUGGGGGGAACCCUGAUCCAGCCAUGCCGCGUGUGUGAAGAAGGCCUUAUGGUUGUAAAGCACUUUAAGCGAGGAGGAGGCUACUGAGACUAAUACUCUUGGAUAGUGGACGUUACUCGCAGAAUAAGCACCGGCUAACUCUGUGCCAGCAGCCGCGGUAAUACAGAGGGUGCGAGCGUUAAUCGGAUUUACUGGGCGUAAAGCGUGCGUAGGCGGCUUUUUAAGUCGGAUGUGAAAUCCCCGAGCUUAACUUGGGAAUUGCAUUCGAUACUGGGAAGCUAGAGUAUGGGAGAGGAUGGUAGAAUUCCAGGUGUAGCGGUGAAAUGCGUAGAGAUCUGGAGGAAUACCGAUGGCGAAGGCAGCCAUCUGGCCUAAUACUGACGCUGAGGUACGAAAGCAUGGGGAGCAAACAGGAUUAGAUACCCUGGUAGUCCAUGCCGUAAACGAUGUCUACUAGCCGUUGGGGCCUUUGAGGCUUUAGUGGCGCAGCUAACGCGAUAAGUAGACCGCCU
Molecule: ribosomal RNA, 791 nt
Filed under: Acinetobacter junii
Lineage: Bacteria; Pseudomonadati; Pseudomonadota; Gammaproteobacteria; Moraxellales; Moraxellaceae
Description: bacterial SSU rRNA
Rfam family: Bacterial small subunit ribosomal RNA
Source: RNAcentral